GCCCCAAUGGUGAAAUCAGGUAGACACGCCAGACUUAGGAUCUGGUGAGCAAUCGUGUAGGUUCGAAUCCUACUUGGGGUA
RNAcentral lists this transfer RNA (81 nucleotides) under Caudoviricetes sp. RNAcentral describes it as "tRNA-Leu". It matches the Rfam family "tRNA". Rfam says of the family: Transfer RNA (tRNA) molecules are approximately 80 nucleotides in length. Their secondary structure includes four short double-helical elements and three loops (D, anti-codon, and T loops). Lineage: Duplodnaviria; Heunggongvirae; Uroviricota; Caudoviricetes. The record is from RNAcentral.